CCUACGGGUGGCAGCAGUAGGGAAUCUUCGGCAAUGGGGGGAACUCUGACCGAGCAACGCCGCGUGAACGAAGAAGUUACUCUUAAUGUAAAGUUCUUUUAACAGGGAAGAAAGAGAAAUUAGACGGUACCUGCUGAAUAAGCCCCGGCUAACUACGUGCCAGCAGCCGCGGUAAUAGGUAGGGAGCGAGCGGUAUCCGGAAUUAUUGGGCGAAAGGGGUGCGUAGAUGGCAUAGUAAGUCGAUUGUAAAAAUGCUGGGCUCAACCCAGUAGGGCAAAAGAUACUGCAAAGCUAGAGUAUGACAGAGGCAGGUGGAACUACAUGUGUAGCGGUAAAAUGCGUAAAUAUAUGUAAGAACACCAGUGGCGAAGGCAGCUUACUGGGUCGAUACUGACAUUGAGGCACGAAAGCGUGGGGAGCAAACAGGAUUAGAUACCCGGGUAGUC
RNAcentral lists this ribosomal RNA (446 nucleotides) under uncultured bacterium. Its description in RNAcentral is "partial 16S ribosomal RNA". It matches the Rfam family "Bacterial small subunit ribosomal RNA", at positions 338 to 795 of the family's 1533-position model. The record is from RNAcentral.